AGUGAACGCUGGCGGUAGGCCUAACACAUGCAAGUCGAACGGCAGCACAGUAAGAGCUUGCUCUUACGGGUGGCGAGUGGCGGACGGGUGAGGAAUACAUCGGAAUCUACUUUUUCGUGGGGGAUAACGUAGGGAAACUUACGCUAAUACCGCAUACGACCUACGGGUGAAAGCAGGGGAUCUUCGGACCUUGCGCGAUUGAAUGAGCCGAUGUCGGAUUAGCUAGUUGGCGGGGUAAAGGCCCACCAAGGCGACGAUCCGUAGCUGGUCUGAGAGGAUGAUCAGCCACACUGGAACUGAGACACGGUCCAGACUCCCACGGGAGGCAGCAGUGGGGAAUAUUGGACAAUGGGCGCAAGCCUGAUCCAGCCAUACCGCGUGGGUGAAGAAGGCCUUCGGGUUGUAAAGCCCUUUUGUUGGGAAAGAAAAGCAGCAGGUUAAUACCCCGCUGUUCUGACGGUACCCAAAGAAUAAGCACCGGCUAACUUCGU
Molecule: ribosomal RNA, 491 nt
Filed under: uncultured bacterium
Lineage: Bacteria
Description: partial 16S ribosomal RNA
Rfam family: Bacterial small subunit ribosomal RNA
Source: RNAcentral